AUGAGAUGGUUUAUUGACACAAGCUGCACAGACCCUCUCGCUCUCUAACACACACACACACGUGCACAAGUGCACACACACACACGCACACACACUCACAAACAGAGGGACCUUCUGACUAACAUUUCAUUCCCUCCCUCGCUCUAGCACUCACGCUCACAUACACAUAUACACAAGCUCAGGACACCAGCUCAUGUUUGUUUUACAGUACUUUCUACUGACCAUAACACAUCAUAUUAAUUUUGUAGGUAGCAUUUUGGUUGGAUUCAGGUACAUUUCAGUGCUGUCUGUGCUACAAAACACACAUUACAUUACAUGGUCGUGUACAAGUGUUCACAUGGACAUUCAGACUCACACUCAUGCUAAUGCAGGUGUUGGGUCAGGUAUUUCCCUAUGACACACAACAGGACAAAAUCACACUGUUCAAUGUGAAUCUCCCCUUAAAAGUUGGAUCAACACAUCCCAGGAAAAACAUGGGAGAAAAUAGGCCUGCUCUUACACAUACACACACAUCGCAUACAAACACACACAUGCACUCAAAUAUAGUGCAUUCACACACACACCAGUACAUUAACAUACCCAUACACACACGCACGCGCACACGCACACACACACACACACACACACACACACACACACACACACACACACACACACACACACACACACACACACACACACACACACCAGCUCAUACAGUAACACUUAUAACUUGGCAGAACAUCCACAGUAAGCAGUAAAUGGUUAAUUCAUGAUUGAGUCGGGAUCGUAGGCAGCAAACAACACGCAAUAAAUAGAUUCAGACACAGUCUCAACAAUAACAGCCCACACAAGACCAAUGCAUCGAUGCUUACAACAAUGGCAAGGGCAACCGUUGGAUCAAACAGAACAGGAAUUUUGUGGAAAGAGAACAAAAGUGGAAAUUACUUUUACGACAUUCACACAACUAUCACUUGGCUGGCUUGUCUAUGGUCAAACCAUAACCCAAAAUACACAAUAUCUCUAUCUCCAAACAGAAAGCAGUUGGCUAACCAGUGGAUUAAUAUGAGCCGUUGACAGCCGCUUGAGGCAAACAAUGGGCUUUAUAUGUCUCCAGAACAAUUUUUUGGCGCAUAUAAAUGUUUAAUUUGUCCACGUUUAUUGAGUGUGAGUCGGCUAUGGGUCCAAAGAGACCCGUUUUAACAGCGCUGAGGAUUUCCCUGCUAAAUGUGUUUCCUUUCGGAAAUGAAAACACAAUUCACGUGUAACCCAACAUUUAAUAAACUAAGAUGGAAGCUAUUUAUCUCACACUAUCUAGAACGUUGAUUAGCCUAGGUUGGGGGGGAAAUUAAUUAUACUUAGCAUGCGAUCGGAGGAUUAAAGCUCAACAACACCUCGAUACAAUGAAUAAGGAAAUAGACAGAAAAAAGUUUGAGACCAGUGCUGACGAUUUUGAAGAGCAUGUGGAUCCGCAGAAUACACAACAUGUAUCAUCAAGUUUGAACUAAUUGAAUGCAACUUUGAAACAAAACAAGUAUUCUUUUUUUCAUCCAAAUGUGUCAGUUACGCCUCUCGUUAACUUGCCCUUUGUUUUCUUUCCAACUUUCUGUCAAGCCUGAGGCUAGCUUUAACUAGCUCCCUCACAAACCAGGGUCAGAGACUUCAGGAGAUUUUCUUCCCUUACCAUUCCUGCUAGACCCUUUGUUCCAUAGGGUAGUGUCGGGUGACUCAAGGCGUGAGAGUGCAAAAGGCUUUAACCUGGAGUCCAUAAGAACUGCCUGCCGACCAGGCAAAAAACAUGGCUCAAGGGGUGAAGGUACAGAAGCUUCAAGUGAGUAUGGAAGGCCAGAGGCAGACAUAGAGAACAAACAUAAACUGUGGUUUUCAAAUUGUCUCAUGUUGGCAGGAGAACGUACAACAACAUCACUAAGAUCAAAUCCCUUUUGAACCAUUCUGUGCUCCUUGGCAAA
Long non-coding RNA from Gadus macrocephalus (Pacific cod), 1949 nucleotides. RefSeq lists it as uncharacterized. The record is from RefSeq and is a predicted model, not a curated record. The transcript is spliced from 2 exons. NCBI's taxonomy places the organism in Eukaryota, Metazoa, Chordata, Actinopteri, Gadiformes, Gadidae.